UCUGGGCGUUGUCCGUGUUUUUGUUGUAGAACUUUAACCCUUUCACAGUGUGUUUUCACUUCAUCACAGUUAAUUAUAUGGUGUGUUAUUCCAACCUGUUCUCACUCCCAACUUGUCAAACAUCUCCAAUCAGAAACAGAUAGACGGAGGCACCCUUUAGCGACAGUAUGUGACGAACCGGGCUUUCAGCCAACUCCAAUGUAGACCCACCCGCGGCGUUAUUUGACGUUCGGAGCAAGUGACGUAGUAUCAAUGGCGUGAGAGUCCGCUAAGGCGGGUGGGCGUGAGGGGUCAAACAAACACAAGACUUUCAACCAGCAGACCGUGUUGGUGUCCCGUCUGAAACUAAAAGUAACGUUGACUUAUUUAGUCACAUGACUCAUCGGUAUCGUCAGCACUGUGAGUCGAUAGUGAAGUUAACAUCAACCACAACCGUUUCCUAACCCUAACUAAGUGGUUGUGUUGCCUAAACCUAACUUCCUGUGAAAACGGAAGUUUAUUUUGAAAGGACACUAUGCAUGUAACGAGCAUAUAUUCAAUUCAGUAAAAAAUAGAAACAGGAACAGAAGAAAAACUAGCACAGAUGUCGUUCAUUUACUGAGAGGAAACACCAGAGGCAGGAUACAAACUCUAACUUUGUAUACCAACAUAUUACAAUAAGCAAAACAGACAAGAACACAUGAAUAGAUAAACAGAUAAAGCUCAGUUAAAGGCCAGACUAAAAAGGUAGGUUAUGAGUUUCUAGAUCUAGUUUUAGAAAAGUUAUAAAUCUUACAUUAGCUAAAUUGAAAUUGAAUUGAAUUAUUUUUAGUGUUGUGUGUUUUUAAUAUGUUUUUAUAUUGUGAUGUGUUUAUCGUACUCCACGUCUUCUACUGUAUCUCAGUAUCUACAGUGCUGAAAUCAUUGUAAAUAAAUGUUAAUUUUUGUGUUAAUAUCCAUUUAUCUUUCCCUAAAGCAUCCCAGUAAAUAAAUAAAUAAGUUGGUCUGAA
This is a long non-coding RNA of Sebastes umbrosus (honeycomb rockfish), 989 nucleotides long. RefSeq lists it as uncharacterized. The record is from RefSeq and is a predicted model, not a curated record. Lineage: Eukaryota; Metazoa; Chordata; Actinopteri; Perciformes; Sebastidae. The transcript is spliced from 2 exons.